Molecule: ribosomal RNA, 404 nt
Filed under: Actinomycetes bacterium
Lineage: Bacteria; Bacillati; Actinomycetota; Actinomycetes
Description: Actinobacteria bacterium partial 16S ribosomal RNA
Rfam family: Bacterial small subunit ribosomal RNA
Source: RNAcentral
UAGGGAAUAUUGGACAAUGGGCGCAAGCCUGAUCCAGCCAUGCCGCGUGAGUGAUGAAAGCCCUAUGGUUGUAAAGCUCUUUCACCGGUGAAGAUAAUGACGUUAACCGGAUAAGAAGCCCCGGCUAACUUCGUGCCAGCAGCCGCGGUAAUACGAAGGGUGCUAGCGUUGUUCGGAUUUACUGGGCGUAAAGCGCACGUAGGCGGACUUUUAAGUCAGGGGUGAAAUCCCGGGGCUCAACCCCGGAACUGCCUUUGAUACUGGAAGUCUUGAGUAUGGUAGAGGUGAGUGGAAUUCCGAGUGUAGAGGUGAAAUUCGUAGAUAUUCGGAGGAACACCAGUGGCGAAGGCGGCUCACUGGACCAUUACUGACGCUGAGGUGCGAAAGCGUGGGGAGCAAACAGG